This 250-nucleotide ribosomal RNA is filed under the name uncultured bacterium. RNAcentral's name for it is "partial 16S ribosomal RNA". It matches the Rfam family "Bacterial small subunit ribosomal RNA", at positions 524 to 773 of the family's 1533-position model. The record is from RNAcentral.
UACGUAGGCAGCGAGCGUUGUUCGGAGUUACUGGGCGUAAAGAGUAUGUAGGCGGUCCUGCAAGUUUGGUGUGAAAUCUCCCGGCUCAACUGGGAGGGUGCGCCGAAAACUGCAGGGCUAGAGUGCGGGAGAGGAGAGCGGAAUUCCUGGUGUAGCGGUGAAAUGCGUAGAUAUCAGGAGGAACACCGGCGGUGUAGACGGCUCUCUGGACCGUGACUGACGCUGAGAUACGAAAGCGUGGGGAGCAAAC